This 953-nucleotide long non-coding RNA is filed under the name Olea europaea (common olive). Its description in RNAcentral is "long non-coding RNA (OEUR_LNC010631)". Lineage: Eukaryota; Viridiplantae; Streptophyta; Magnoliopsida; Lamiales; Oleaceae. The record is from RNAcentral.
UACAACUAAAAUUAAGAAUCUCCACUCCAACAUUGAUUCUCUGAAACUGAAGCUGACAAAAGAUGAUUUGAAAGAAAUUACCGAUGCGGUUCCCAUCAACGAAGUAGUAGGGUCGAGAAGUCAAAAUGAGGCUUUUCAUAAGAUCACAUGGGAAUUUGUGAACACACCACUCCCAGAAUGAACCAGCAGAUAAUUAUUAGCGUGUGAUGUUUUGAAAAAAUUGAAGUUUUAGUCGUGUCGAUAUUUCAUGUGGUCUUGUCAGCGUACUUUUACUAGUUAUCCAACUUUCACUAGUUUGUGUGUAUCUAGAUCAAAAGUAAUAUAUCGCAUGGCUAUUGAAUAAUUGAACAUCUUUUUGUUUUUUAUUCUCUUUGAUAAACAUCCUAUAUAAGAUCACACGGGAAUUAGUGAACACUCCACUCCUAGAAUGAGCUAGCAAAAUGUUUCGAUAUUUGAUGUAAUUUUGUCCGCAUAUUUUUGCUAGUUAUCCAACUUUCAGUGGCUUGUGUGGAUGUAAAUCAAAAGUACUCCACUCCUAUGAUGAACAAGCAAAUUGGAUAAUUAUUAGUAUGUGAUGUUUUGAAAAAAUUGGAGUUUUAAUUGUGUCGAUAUUUGAUGUAGUUUGUUUUGCAUACUUUUACCAGUUAUCCAACCUUUACUAGUUUGUGUGGAUGUAGAGCAAAAAUAAUAUAUCGUAUGGCUAUUGAAUAAUUGAACCUGUUUUUGUUUUUUUGUUUAUUUUAUUUUAUUUUUCUUUGAUAACCAUCCUACAUAAGAUCACAUGAGAAUUUGUGAAUACUCCACUUCUAGAAUGAACCAGCAAAAUGGAUAAUUAUUAGCGGGGUGUUUUGAAAAAAUUGAGGUUUUAGUGGGGUCGAUAUUUGAUGUAGUUUUGUUUGCAACUUUUAUUAGUUAUCCAACUUUCACUAGCUUUUGUGGAUGUAGAUCGGAAG